This 430-nucleotide ribosomal RNA is filed under the name uncultured Rhodocyclaceae bacterium. RNAcentral describes it as "bacterial SSU rRNA". It matches the Rfam family "Bacterial small subunit ribosomal RNA", at positions 952 to 1382 of the family's 1533-position model. Lineage: Bacteria; Pseudomonadati; Pseudomonadota; Betaproteobacteria; Rhodocyclales; Rhodocyclaceae. The record is from RNAcentral.
CGACGCAACGCGCAGAACCUUACCUGGGUUAAAUCCACCAGAAGCUGGCAGAGAGUGCCGGGGUGCCCUUCGGGAGCUGGUGAGAAGGUGCUGCAUGGCUGUCGUCAGCUCGUGUCGUGAGAUGUUGGGUUAAGUCCCGCAACGAGCGCAACCCUUGUCAUUAGUUGCCAUCAUUUGGUUGGGCACUCUAAUGAGGCUGCCGGUGACAAACCGGAGGAAGGUGGGGAUGACGUCAAGUCCUCAUGGCCCUUAUGGGUAGGGCUUCACACGUCAUACAAUGGUCGGUACAGAGGGUUGCCAACCCGCGAGGGGGAGCUAAUCCCACAAAGCCGAUCGUAGUCCGGAUCGCAGUCUGCAACUCGACUGCGUGAAGUCGGAAUCGCUAGUAAUCGUGGAUCAGCAUGUCACGGUGAAUACGUUCCCGGGUCUU